Molecule: ribosomal RNA, 198 nt
Filed under: uncultured bacterium
Lineage: Bacteria
Description: partial 16S ribosomal RNA
Rfam family: Bacterial small subunit ribosomal RNA
Source: RNAcentral
ACGCUCGACACCUACGGGACGCAGCAGUGGGGAAUAUUGCACAAUGGGGGAAACCCUGAUGCAGCGACGCCGCGUGAGCGAAGAAGUAUUUCGGUAUGUAAAGCUCUAUCAGCAGGGAAGAAACUGACGGUACCUGACUAAGAAGCACCGGCUAAAUACGUGCUAGCAGCCGCGGUAAUCUGAGCGGGCUGGCAAGGC